RNAcentral lists this ribosomal RNA (301 nucleotides) under uncultured bacterium. RNAcentral's name for it is "partial 16S ribosomal RNA". It matches the Rfam family "Bacterial small subunit ribosomal RNA", at positions 509 to 807 of the family's 1533-position model. The record is from RNAcentral.
CAGCCGCCACGGUAAUACGAAGGGGGCUAGCGUUGCUCGGAAUGACUGGGCGUAAAGGGCGCGUAGGCGGAUUGUACAGUCAGACGUGAAAUUCCUGGGCUCAACCUGGGGACUGCGUUUGAGACGUGCGAUCUAGAGUUUGGAAGAGGGUCGUGGAAUUCCCAGUGUAGAGGUGAAAUUCGUAGAUAUUGGGAAGAACACCGGUGGCGAAGGCGGCGACCUGGUCCUUGACUGACGCUGAGGCGCGAAAGCGUGGGGAGCAAACAGGAUUAGAUACCCGCGUAGUCCCUGUCUCUUAUAC